UCCCUGUUCUGUUAAUUAAACUCUGGGACACUGAACUGGCUAGCAUAGGUGAUUGCACAGAAAAUGUCACUCUAUUGAUUUACCUCCCAGCCUCCAAAA
RNAcentral lists this small nucleolar RNA (99 nucleotides) under Vicugna pacos (alpaca). The record is from RNAcentral. Lineage: Eukaryota; Metazoa; Chordata; Mammalia; Artiodactyla; Camelidae.